This 914-nucleotide ribosomal RNA is filed under the name uncultured marine archaeon. RNAcentral describes it as "bacterial SSU rRNA". It matches the Rfam family "Archaeal small subunit ribosomal RNA", at positions 1 to 921 of the family's 1478-position model. The record is from RNAcentral.
UUCCGGUUGAUCCUGCCGGAGGCUACCGCUAUUGGAGUUCGAUUAAGCCAUGCGAGUCGAGAGUCUUAGGGACUCGGCGUACCGCUCAGUAACACGUGGGUAACCUGCCCUAUGCUGGGGAAUAACCUCGGGAAACUGAGAAUAAUGCCCCAUAGUUCACUACGCCUGGAACGGUGAGUGGAUGAAAGCUCCGGCGGCAUAGGAUGGGCCUGCGGCGUAUCAGGUCGUAGGGGGUGUAACGUACCCUCUAGCCAUCGACGCGUACGGGUGUUGGGAGACAUAGCCCGGAGAUGGAUUCUGAGACACGAAUCCAGACCCUACGGGGUGCAGCAGGCGCGAAAACUUGGCAAUGCGAGAAAUCGUGACCAGGGAACUCCAAGUGGCUGGGGUAAGACCCAGUCUUUUCUUGACUCUUCAAAGGUCUUGGAAUAAGAGGUGGGUAAGGACGGUGCCAGCCGCCGCGGUAAUACCGGCGCCUCAAGUGGUAGUCGAUUUUAUUGGGCCUAAAACGUCCGUAGCCUGUUUGGUACAUUCGUGGGUAAAUCAACCAGCUCAACUGGUUGAAUUCUGCGAGCACGGCCAGACUUGGGACCGGGAGAGGUGUGGGGUACGCUCAGGGUAGGGGUAAAAUCCUGUCAUCCUGAGCGGACCACCUGUUGCGAAGGCGCCACACUAGAACGGAUCCGACGGUCAGGGACGAAGCCUAGGGGCACGAACCGGAUUAGAUACCCGGGUAGUCCUAGGUGUAAACGCUGUGGACUUGGUGUUGGGGAUUCUCAGAGGAUUCUCAGUGUCGAAGCGAAGGUGAUAAGUCCACUGCCUGGGGAGUACGGUCGCAAGGCUGAAACUUAAAGGAAUUGGCGGGGGAGCACCGCAACCUGAGGAUUGUGCGGUUUAAUUGGAUUCAACGCCGG